RNAcentral lists this ribosomal RNA (448 nucleotides) under uncultured bacterium. RNAcentral describes it as "bacterial SSU rRNA". It matches the Rfam family "Bacterial small subunit ribosomal RNA", at positions 329 to 794 of the family's 1533-position model. The record is from RNAcentral.
UUCCAGACUCCUACGGGAGGCAGCAGUGGGGAAUAUUGGGCAAUGGGGGAAACCCUGACCCAGCGACGCCGCGUGAGGGAAGAAGGUUUUCGGAUUGUAAACCUCUGUCCUUGGUGACGAUAAUGACGGUAGCCAAGGAGGAAGCCACGGCUAACUACGUGCCAGCAGCCGCGGUAAUACGGAGGGUGCGAGCGUUAAUCGGAAUUACUGGGCGUAAAGCGCUCGUAGGCGGUAUGUCAAGUCAAGGGUGAAAUCCCCGCGCUCAACGUGGGAACUGCCUUUGAAACUGGCAAACUGGAGUGUGUGAGAGGAUAGUGGAAUUCCAGGUGUAGGAGUGAAAUCCGUAGAUAUCUGGAGGAACAUCAGUGGCGAAGGCGACUAUCUGGCACAUAACUGACGCUGAGGAGCGAAAGCGUGGGUAGCAAACAGGAUUAGAUACCCGGGUACC